GGGAAAAUGAAGCGGAUAUGAUUGAAAAGAUAGCCAAAGAUGUUUCAGAUAAACUGAAUGCUACACCUUCUAAAGAUUUUGAUGCAUUUGUGGGACUUGAGUUUCACAUUAGGGAAUUAAGUUCUCUGCUAUACCUAGACUAUGAGCAAGUGAGGAUAGUAGGAAUCUGUGGCCCUGCAGGAAUCGGUAAGACUACCAUUGCUCGUGCUUUACAAAGCCUACUCUCUAGCAAUUUUCAGCGAAGUUGUUUUAUGGAGAAUGUUAGGGGAAGUCUUAAUAUUGGGCUUGACGAGUAUGGUCUGAAGUUAGAUUUACAAGAACGACUUCUUUCAAAGAUUAUGAACCAAAAGGGUAUGAGGAUAGAGCAUUUAGGCACAAUAAGAGAUAGGUUACAUGACCAAAAAGUGCUUAUCAUUCUAGAUGAUGUUAAUGAUCUCGAUUUGUAUGCUUUGGCUGAUCAGACAACGUGGUUUGGUCCUGGAAGUAGGAUUAUCGUGACAACAGAAGACAACGAGCUUUUGCAGAAACAUGAUAUUAACAAUGUCUACCAUGUGGAUUUUCCAUCUAGAAAAGAAGCUCUUGAGAUCUUUUGCAGAUGUGCUUUUAGACAAAGCUCUGCACCUGAUACGAUUCUAAAGCUUGCAGAACGAGUAACAGAGCUUUGUGGUAAUCUUCCAUUGGGUCUCUGUGUCAUAGGUUCAUCUUUACACGGGAAAACUGAGGAUGAGUGGGAAAUUUUAAUUCGCAGACUAGAAAUUAGUCUUGAUCGAGAUAACGAGGCACAACUUAGAGUUGGGUAUGAUAGCUUACAUGAGAACGAGCAAGCUUUAUUUCUCAGCAUUGCAGUCUUCUUCAACUAUAAAGACCGUCAGCUUGUGAUGGCCAUGCUCCUUGACAGUAACCUAGAUGUCGAGUAUGGGUUAAGAACCCUCGCCAAUAAAUCUCUAAUACAUAUAUCUAGGAAUGAGAAAAUAGUGAUGCAUAACUUACUACAACAUGUGGGUAGACAAGCCAUUCAAAGACAAGAACCUUGGAAACGCCACAUCUUAAUAGAUGCUGACGAGAUAUGCAAUGUCCUUGAAAAUGAUACAGUAAGUAUUCCACGUUCUAAACUUAAUCAUAUUGUGAAGAUUCACAGAUCUUACAUAUUGUGCUCACGAUUUCU
This 1165-nucleotide small RNA is filed under the name Arabidopsis thaliana (thale cress). RNAcentral describes it as "ATSL283800". The record is from RNAcentral. Lineage: Eukaryota; Viridiplantae; Streptophyta; Magnoliopsida; Brassicales; Brassicaceae.